GAUGAACGCUGGCGGCAUGCCUAAUACAUGCAAGUCGAACGAGAGGAAGGAAAGCUUGCUUUUCUGAAUCUAGUGGCGAACGGGUGAGUAACACGUAGGUAACCUGCCCAUGUGCCCGGGAUAACUUCUGGAAACGGAUGCUAAAACCGGAUAGGUAGCAGACAAGCAUUUGACUGCUAUUAAAGUGGCCUUGGCCAUGAACAUGGAUGGACCUGCGGUGCAUUAGCUGGUUGGUGAGGUAACGGCCCACCAAGGCGACGAUGCAUAGCCGGCCUGAGAGGGCGGACGGCCACAUUGGGACUGAGACACGGCCCAAACUCCUACGGGAGGCAGCAGUAGGGAAUUUUCGUCAAUGGGGGGAACCCUGAACGAGCAAUGCCGCGUGAGUGAGGAAGGUCUUCGGAUCGUAAAGCUCUGUUGUAAGAGAAAAACGGCACUCAUAGGGAAUGAUGAGUGAGUGA
RNAcentral lists this ribosomal RNA (461 nucleotides) under uncultured bacterium. RNAcentral describes it as "bacterial SSU rRNA". It matches the Rfam family "Bacterial small subunit ribosomal RNA", at positions 28 to 472 of the family's 1533-position model. The record is from RNAcentral.